RNAcentral lists this ribosomal RNA (253 nucleotides) under uncultured bacterium. RNAcentral describes it as "partial 16S ribosomal RNA". It matches the Rfam family "Bacterial small subunit ribosomal RNA", at positions 524 to 776 of the family's 1533-position model. The record is from RNAcentral.
UACGUAGGGGGCUAGCGUUGUCCGGAUUUAUUGGGCGUAAAGAGCGUGUAGGCGGCCAGGUAGGUCUGGUGUGAAAACUCGAGGCUUAACCUCGAGAUGUCAUCGGAAACCAUCUGGCUAGAGUCCGCAAGAGGAGAGUGGAAUUCCUGGUGUAGCGGUGAAAUGCGCAGAUAUCAGGAAGAACACCAAUGGCGAAAGCAGCUCUCUGGGACGGUACUGACGCUGAGACGCGAAAGCGUGGGGAGCGAACAGG